UACGUAGGUGGAAAGCGUUAUCCGGAAUUAUUGGGCGUAAAGAGCGCGCAGGUGGUUAAUUAAGUCUGAUGUGAAAGCCCACGGCUUAACCGUGGAGGGUCAUUGGAAACUGGUUGACUUGAGUGCAGAAGAGGGAAGUGGAAUUCCAUGUGUAGCGGUGAAAUGCGUAGAGAUAUGGAGGAACACCAGUGGCGAAGGCGGCUUCCUGGUCUGCAACUGACACUGAGGCGCGAAAGCGUGGGGAGCAAACAGG
RNAcentral lists this ribosomal RNA (253 nucleotides) under uncultured bacterium. Its description in RNAcentral is "partial 16S ribosomal RNA". It matches the Rfam family "Bacterial small subunit ribosomal RNA", at positions 524 to 776 of the family's 1533-position model. The record is from RNAcentral.